GAAAUUGAUUGUUGUUUACAAGGCUUUGGAACUAGGCUAGUUCCUCGUGGCCUUUGCUUCACUGUUAUCUAUCACACAAUGACAAGACACCACAUGGACUUCCUCAUAGGGAAGCUUACAAUAUGGCACCUCACUUUCAUUAUGGAGAGCAAGCAAGAGAGUAAGAGAAGAUAUAAUAACCUAUUUCUGAAGUAAUACGGAUAAUUCUGUGACAAAUCCACUUCAGCCUUGGUAAUGCCCUUCGUUUUGACUUCAAAACAUUCACUGGCUCUCAUGGAUUUGUACUAUUUAACACCCAGAUAAAGGUCACGGACUUGGGAAAUGACCUAAGCAGGAGCUGAAUUCCAUCCCUGGUCUGUUUGGCUCCCAAGCCAUGCUCUUAACCUCUAUAUUCUAGUACUUCCGGAGAAAAGUCAUGAGAAUGAGCAGGGCAUAUGUGAAGAUAGCCUGACUGAAGAAGAAGAGUUCAUGUUGAGUGUGGAGGAAAACAAAGGUCAACAGGCAGAUUGGGACCAAGUUAGAGAGUGCCUGGAAACUCACGAAAAAUUAGAUUUGAUGUAAUAAGAAAUGAGACUUCCUUAUAGAAUUUUUGAACUGGAAGAAGGAUGAUAAAUGGAAGUAUUCAAAGACGUUUCUUUUAUGGCAGGAAGAUUUGGAGAGAGUACAUGAUGACAAUAAGGGUACAGUUGGGAAACUAAUCUAAUGGUUCAAGUAUGAAAUGAUGAAGACCUAAUCUGGAGUGGUCAAUGUGAUCAUGAGUCAAAAGAACGAAUCAACAUAAUUUUGUAACUAAUUAGAUGCAAGGACUGAAGCAGACGAAGGAUGAGUCAAAGAUGACUGGAUAGUUUCAAGCCUGGGGACUGAAGAGGUGGCGCCACGAAGAGUUAAAACGAGGAAAGAACAUGCGGUGGGAGGGCAUGAGUUUAUGUUUAGAAAGGCAGAAGAUACUACCAAUGCCUAAUCCUCCUUCAAAUAACAACUUUUUUCAUUCUUCAUAUACGCCUGUGAUAAUCCAUGUAGGAAAAAUGAUAAAAGACCACAUUGAUGUUUUCUAAAUAUGAAGAAAAUAAAGGACAAUUAAAAUCAGUAAGUUUAUCAUCAUCAACAGCAAAAAACACACAUAUAUAAUUGGCCUAACCAGAAAUGAGGCCUGGCCAACCAUCUCUGCAUGUGUUUGGUUGCCUGUACAUGCUUGCUUUUGUGGUUGAAACUCAAGUGCUUCCUCCCACACAAUGGAACAGAAAAUACUUUCAUUUCCUGAAAAGAUUGUUGCUGCAUCAUC
Molecule: long non-coding RNA, 1282 nt
Organism: Homo sapiens (human)
Lineage: Eukaryota; Metazoa; Chordata; Mammalia; Primates; Hominidae
Source: Ensembl